AAAAAAUCCAAGAUGUGGCCAAGUAAAUAAGAAUUGUGAAACAGAAAGUAUAGCGAUUGCUGAGAGCUAUGCCACUGCUUCUUAUUGAAACCUACCACGGAGAUGUUAUGCAAACAUAACCGGAUCGUUGCCGUUAUCUAACGUUUAGAGGGUUUAUCAUGAAGAUAAGCUAAACUAAGGUGGUACCACGUUUAUUCAGCACAAAGACGUCCUUAUA
This 217-nucleotide non-coding RNA is filed under the name Sporosarcina sp. RNAcentral's name for it is "T-box sequence". It matches the Rfam family "T-box leader". From Rfam's summary of the family: Uncharged tRNA acts as the effector for transcription antitermination of genes in the T-box leader family. T-boxes are found upstream of many aminoacyl-tRNA synthetase genes and some amino acid biosynthetic genes usually in Gram-positive bacteria. The anticodon of a specific tRNA base pairs to a specifier sequence within the T-box motif, and the NCCA acceptor tail of the tRNA base pairs to a conserved bulge in the T-box antiterminator hairpin. Lineage: Bacteria; Bacillati; Bacillota; Bacilli; Caryophanales; Caryophanaceae. The record is from RNAcentral.